This 253-nucleotide ribosomal RNA is filed under the name uncultured bacterium. RNAcentral describes it as "partial 16S ribosomal RNA". It matches the Rfam family "Bacterial small subunit ribosomal RNA", at positions 524 to 776 of the family's 1533-position model. The record is from RNAcentral.
GACAGAGGUGCCAAGCGUUAGGCGGAAUCACUGGGCUUAAAGCGUGUGUAGGCGGCUUCUUAAGUCUGGUGUGAAAUCUCCCGGCUCAACUGGGAGGGUGCGCCGGAUACUGAGGGGCUAGAGUGUGGGAGAGGAAAGUGGAAUUCCUGGUGUAGCGGUGAAAUGCGUAGAUAUCAGGAGGAACACCGGUGGUGUAAACGGCUUUCUGGACCAUAACUGACGCUGAGGCACGAAAGCGUGGGUAGCAAACAGG